AAAAGAAAGUAUUUCCAAUAAUGCGGAAUGAUGAAAUUGCAAAAAUAGCCAUGAAAGAUAUUAUUAUUUGUAGCUAUGCUGAAUCUUUACUUCGUAAACAUAAAAGGCGUCAGAUAAAAAACGUUAUCUCAAACAAAAUGAGAGAACUGGGCCGUCUUUUAAUAAACAUAAAGCAAAUAGCUGACGUGCAGUGUCUAUUUGAGGUAUUGAAGCCCGAAAUGUUUGGAACUAUUGUUUCAGCAACAAAAGUAAUUUGCGGAUAUAAUGCAGAGACUCGUACAUUUACGGCAAGCAGUUUAGCUUUACAUAUGGGAACAACUCUUAAACAAGUUUGUGAUAUAGCUAAUAAGCUAAUUAUUGAAAAAAAUCCGUUACUCCCAUGCAUAGAUCAGGAGCAUUGCUUAAAGAACAUAAAACGAUUAAGGAAAUUAAUAGAAAGUCACUGGAACUAUGAAUUAGCAAGCUUAGCUUUAAAAAAUUUAAAUGAACAAACCUUUAUUAAACCUAAAUUUUUACCUGUAACUAGUGAUGUUAUGAAAUUUCAGACUUAUGUACUAAAUGAGGCUAAAGAGGCAUUUACUAAAUUAAAAGAAAAAAAUGGGAAUAAAAUUGAAUUUAGAAAAUUAUCAGAAUGUGUCUUGGGAUUAACCGUUUUAUUAAAUAGAAAGCGGAUAAGCGAGAUUCAACAUUUGACUGUUAAUGCGUAUAAUACCAUGACUACACAAUCUCAGCAAGAAGAGUUUAUUAAAGGGCUUACAGAAAGUGAACAAAUUUUAACAAGGAACUUUAAGCGAGUUGUUACUUUGGGUAAAGGAAGCAAGCCAGUACCCAUAUUAUUUUCAUCACAUUUGCAAGAGUUUAUCAAUAUUAUGUUGUAUGUCAGACAUUUAUAUGUGUCUGAAAAAAACGAAUAUCUGUUUGCUAACCCAAACACCGAAAGAUCAGCGGCUAUAAUACUUUAAAAAAACUAGCCAAAAAAUCAGGCGUUUCAGAUGAUGGUCUGUUUACAUCAACUCGCUUAAGGAAACAAAUUUCAACCAUACCACAAGUUCUGAAUAUCUCGGAAAACGAAAUGGAACAAUUUGCAUCUUUCAUGGGGCAUACCAAAAAGACUCAUGAAAAUUAUUACAGGCUUCCGCAAGACAUCUAUCAGACUGCAAAAGUCUCAAAAUUGCUAUUGGCCAUAAAUAGCGGAAAAGCCCAAGCUUAUAAGGGAAAAUCAUUAGAUGAAAUUGAACUUUCUGAUGGUAUAGAAACUGACUCGGAUUUGGAGUUAACUAAAGAUCAACACAGAGGUGGCGAACCGACAGAAAAAUGGAACGAUUGUUGCGAUGAAUCAAAAGAAGAAAGCAUUAUUGAGAAUACUAUGGAACAGAUAGCUGGAUUGCAAAGUCAGAAAGAAGGUAAAAGUAAGUAUUAUUCAGAGACAAAAAAGAGUACUCAGGAUAAAAAAAUCACUAGGACAAGGUGGCUUGAAGAAGAUAAAAAAAUAGUAAGAGGUUAUGUUCAAGACCAUAUCAAAAACAAAAAGGCUCCAAAAAAACAUGAAGUAGAAACAUUUUUAGACCAUCAUAAAAGUUUCCUUAAAAAGACCAACUGGGUGAAAUUGAAGCCGUUCGUUUGCAACUGUUACAAAUAAAAAAGUGGUUUGUUUGUUUUUUCUUUAGGUUACUCUAAGAUAGAUAAUAAUUAUAAGUUAUUCUAUAUUAAAAUAUGA
Molecule: unclassified non-coding RNA, 1717 nt
Filed under: Anthonomus grandis grandis
Lineage: Eukaryota; Metazoa; Arthropoda; Insecta; Coleoptera; Curculionidae
Description: uncharacterized LOC126749100
Source: RNAcentral